AUGCAACCAGGGCACAGUGCACACCAGGACCCAAACACCACACAGGACCAGUUCCAUGCGUACAGUGAAGACUUUUAUUGGGGAGAAGCACAGCAAAGUCUCAAGCAAAUGCGAGCCCUGAGGCAGGUCAGCUUGUCACUGAGGCAGGCUACCUGGGGGCCACCUUUCGGCUGCGGGGGCCAGGGCCGCGGGCUGGGGCCGGCAGGCAGCAGGCACGCAGGAGGAAUCCGAGGAUGCUCCUGCCAAUCCUCCUGCCCAGCCCCUGCCGGCCCUUGCUCGGGACAGAGGCCGAUGCUGAGGGCCCAGCCUCCUCAGGCUCAGCUGCUGGGACCUCUGGCACCACCAGGUGCGGACUGCUCCCGGGGCUGGGGGUGGAGGGGGCGGCCACGGGGACGGGCUCGGGGGCUGGGCUGGCACCAGGGCUCCUCUCCUGCAGCUGUCCAGGGAGGGGAGAGGCAACCACGGGGCCAGCAGCAGCAGGAUCCAGCUCAGGCUGGGGGAGCGACUCCGACUCCGACUCCGACUCCGACUCCGACUCCAGCUGCGACGCAGACUCAGGCUCCGACUCGGACUCCAGCUCUGCCUCGCACUCCGACUCAGGCUCCCUUUGUCCCUGUGAGAGAGAGGAAGGCAGGUGAGAAGGACAGGUGCACCCUGGACCUCCCUCAUGCCCCGAAACCCAGGGAGACCAUGGACAGACCCGCGCUCUGCCACCGGGGCUCUACCUGCUCCAGGCUCCCGGAGUGCGGCUGCAGGGACAUCCGGCUGGAUCCCCCAGGGCCAGAUGGCUCUGAGGCUGCAGCGUCCGGAAGCAGACCCAGGCCCGCCAGGUACUCCUGGGCCUCUGGGUCCUCGGGAACCGCCAGGGGCUGCACCACGCUCAGCUCCUCGCCCUCCGCUCCUUCUAGAAGAGGGUCAAACCACCAUUGCUGGAGGGCGAUUUCUGCUGUGGGUCUGUCGCACGGGUCCCUGCUGAGGAGGGAGCUCAGGAGCUUCUCCAGGCCCCGGCUGGCCCCACACGGGAGCUGGUAG
This 1032-nucleotide long non-coding RNA is filed under the name Oryctolagus cuniculus (rabbit). RNAcentral's name for it is "lncRNA (ENSOCUG00000031264.1)". Lineage: Eukaryota; Metazoa; Chordata; Mammalia; Lagomorpha; Leporidae. The record is from RNAcentral.